RNAcentral lists this small nuclear RNA (307 nucleotides) under Carlito syrichta (Philippine tarsier). RNAcentral describes it as "7SK RNA (ENSTSYG00000024332.2)". It matches the Rfam family "7SK RNA". Rfam says of the family: 7SK was discovered as an abundant small nuclear RNA in the mid-70s but a possible function has only recently been suggested. Lineage: Eukaryota; Metazoa; Chordata; Mammalia; Primates; Tarsiidae. The record is from RNAcentral.
AGUUAAUCUACUGUUACACCUGCUACUCUCUUGGUUGCUAAGGUUGGGUCAGCUGACUUGGAAAGUAAGAGGACGUUCUCUUUCUCCCCAACCCACCUAGAUCAGCCUGUAGUCAUCCAGACCAAAGAUGUUGACCUCUCAACUUGAGGGGCAUAGGACUUCAUUCAGAAAUAAAGAAGUAGCUAUGCUUCUCUGGCUGAAAAGCUAAAGAAUUUCUCAGCAUUCUUAUCUGUUUUGCCAGGAGCUACACAGCAAGACACAGAGCUGGAUCUUGGCUUGCCAUUUCGAGUUGGUGUUGUCCAUAGCA